UAGAACUAUCUUCUAAUCGAUGUUCGUAGUCGCCAUAUCUCUACUGUUUUGUACAGUUAACAUCCUUCCAAAUUGUUUUCAUUCACGAAAUGUAACGGAUUUUCGAAACUUGAUCACAGUUUAACAAGAAUCGUAGAGAUCUCUCGUUGAGAGUGUGAACGGAAGAAGUUACGGGAUAUGCGACAACCAUUUUGUAAUACGAAUUUUAAAUUACUUGAUUGUACUUCCAAAGUAAGUAAAAUGGAUCGUUGAAAGAAAUGUGAAGAAAUAAUAUUAAUUAGAACACAGAGAUUGAGGAGGAUCCAAAUUCGAGAGUUUUUCUAGUGCGAUCGACAAAAAAAUCUAUGACUCAGUGGUGAAUGCUAGCAUAGAAAGGGGAGAAGAGUCAAUUCAGCCUCUUUUUAGAGGAUUUGUUUUGAAAUAACCGCCCAUAGAUUCGCUCAGCAAUGAAGUGCACUUAUAUACAUACGUCAAUGCAGUCAGAAAAAGAGCGGUGCAUAUGGUACUGAGAAACGCGUUCGAAUUAGUACGCGCCACGUGUUUGUCCAGAGUCGUCGCACGGUUUACUGCCGGUCCAGCAUAAAAAAAAAAAGAAAGACUAAGAUUCAGUUAGGAUAAUCGCCUCGUAUUCUAUUGAGCGUGAACAAUGCGACACUUCGAGUUCAGUGAACAAUUGAGUAGGAACGAGGCAGCUGUCAGUCCAUGUGCCGCAGCGUGAUAUGUAAAUGGAACGUAAAUUCGUAAGCAUGACGAUAGGGUAAGCAGCCCUUUGGAGGGAAACCCCUUCGGGUUAAGGCAGACGUUGUAGACUAUUAUUUUUACAUCGAUGUCACGGAUCCGUCCGCAUUUCACGUUAGUCGUGUACACUGUAUAAUGGAUUUCAGAGUUUUCCGUUGAUAACUGUAAACGAGAACGAAUGUUACGAAACGUGCAAGCGAGUUUACGUCAUUAAUCGAUAAUAUUAACCAGAGUUUCUACGGAACGGUUAUUGUACCUUACUGAAAUAAGCACGUAAAGAGUUUUGUAGAGAAAGUAAGUUAUAAAUCGAUUAAAAGACCAAAACGAAACAAAGAAUAUAUCAUUGGUGGAUCAAAAGAAGAUUAAUUUAUAUUGUACAACAAAGAAGCUGUUGAGGAAAAUGUCAGAGACCUUAUAAAAGCGAAUACAUGUAUAUAUAUACCACGAAACCAGCGUAUAAGCGGACAACGAAGUACUCUUACAGUCUAAUACGUAACGAAAGAUUAUGUCUCGCAUUAAAGUGCGUUAUAUUACGACCUUGAGCAAAUUCUAUCUCGUCAAAGAAAUUCUUUAAAGAGACAAUGGAUUGCGGAAAGUAUCAGCGAGAUAGUAUAAAAUAUUGAAGACUUCUGUUUUUUAUGAUCCAGAUACUUUCUUCAAUUUUUUUAUGUUAAUUUUUAUAGCAAUACAUCAUGAUACUAAAGCAAUAUUUUGUCUGCCUGCCUGCCUGCUUGUUUGCUUGCCUGAUUGCC
Molecule: long non-coding RNA, 1490 nt
Organism: Vespula pensylvanica (western yellowjacket)
Lineage: Eukaryota; Metazoa; Arthropoda; Insecta; Hymenoptera; Vespidae
Exons: 3
Source: RefSeq, a predicted model, not a curated record